Molecule: long non-coding RNA, 1052 nt
Filed under: Nicotiana benthamiana
Lineage: Eukaryota; Viridiplantae; Streptophyta; Magnoliopsida; Solanales; Solanaceae
Description: long non-coding RNA (NBEN_LNC004053)
Source: RNAcentral
UGAGUUUGAAAUCCUUGUUUUUCAUAUGAUUCCGACUUUUGCUAAACUUUUCUAAUGUCUUUUAAACUGGAUCUUUUGUGUGCUACUAUAUGCUACUUCUCUUCUACAUUUCUAACCUAAGUCACAACCAUGCUCCUGUAGUCUAUUAUCUACUGAUUUUUACAAUGACACAACAUCUUCUUUCAGCUUAACAUGUUUGUGCUCUUUAUAUGUGAUGAACUUCCCUCUAAAGUGUAUUUCAAAAUUUUGAUUAGCUUAGACUUCCUUCUGAAUGGGUCUGAUUUAUUUCUUUCCUUGUUUGUUGAUUUCCUUGUGACUCGACUUAAGUUAAAACCUUUCUCAGCUCUUCUGACUUGGUUCAUUCAUGAAUUAGUAAUUAUAAAUUCUUUCACUCUGGAUUUACUGGAUACUAAUUUAUUUUCUUACCUUAUUUAUACAAUCAUGUAUUUCAAAAUUCUAUCCUUAAAUAACCUUUUAUGUAUUUUCCCCUAAUUGCAUGCUUUGCACAAGAUGUUUAUUUGACUUCUUCCCUUAAAUAGUUUUCCCGUUUGAAUCUAAAUCCUUAAUUAAGGGAAGUAUUGUGUGAUUGAUUCUUAAUUGAUAAUCACCUCCUUAUUUCUGCCUGAUUUUCACACUACAAAUGCAUGACUCUUUCACAAACAAAAUUUAUAAUUCACAGUCUUUCUGAACUCACACUUACACACAAUUGUAUUCUCUCUUCUUGUCUGCAUUGUGUCAUGUUUACAAGAUCUACUACUUUUAUCUAUUUGUUUCUUUGAAAUUGGUAUGUCCUGAUUUAAUCUUCAUCACCACAAAAAUGUGAUUAUUUAUGUCCUUUGUAUCUAUGUCUAUUUACUGUUUUUGCAUAAUUCAACACUUACUUUAGUAUGUUGACCUCUUUCUGGUUGUUUUGGUAUGAAUUCCAAACCCCAACCCCUAUAUGUUUGAGUUAUGGUUUUGACAUGUCAAUAUGUAAAUUGUUGCCCAUGAAUCAGAACUGGUCCCUUGGGAUCCUAACCUCUUAUAGUGUUUUCCAAACAUGCUUAUGGGGG